Molecule: long non-coding RNA, 1029 nt
Organism: Cryptotermes secundus
Lineage: Eukaryota; Metazoa; Arthropoda; Insecta; Blattodea; Kalotermitidae
Exons: 3
Source: RefSeq, a predicted model, not a curated record
GCUGCACUUCGCCGGGCUAGAGGAGGUUCCACACGAUACUAGCUGCAAAAACUGUGUUUGACGGUGGUGGUGUAAACUCGCCCAACCUAACCUGUUGGAAGUCUAUGUAAAUCAAGACACGCUCAGACAAGUGGCCCAGAAUGGCGGGAGGAAAAAAAAGUGACGUGUGAUGUUUGUGAGUGGAAUUAUAUUCCGUAAGUUGGUAAUUCAUAGGAAACGGUGAAAUUUGUUGCUUAGCAACAACGAGUAAACAACGGUUGCUAAGCAAUGACGUUUGCGUUGUCACACUUGCUUGACUGUGGGCAGUUCCCACAUCAGGAAUGGAUGUCUGCAUUAUAGAAGUUUGAUAGUUGUGAGGAACAUCAAAGGUUAUAUAUGAUACAGUUUUGAAUGUAAGGAUGUUGUGUAAAGUGUGUGAGGUUGGAGGUUUUGGGUGCAGGGGGGAGGAGUGGAUUUGAUUCUACAUACGUGGUAUGUGCCUACUGUUCAGGAGAAUCCAUGUCUUUCCAGAUAACAUUAUGGGUGUGAAUAUGUGAGUUCCGUUUAUGUGCUGGCACCAUGAUCUUCAGGUAAGAAUGAAAUAACUACUUGUGUUGUACAUGACUGGAGGCUGAAUGUGGUAAAUUACGUAUUUAGAAAGACAAAAAGAAAGUAUGGUCAAAACCAUGUGUUCAUCUCUCAGGAAACCAGGGCAGUGUGUGGAAGACUGAUAAUUUAACUCCAAGAUUAUGUGCAGUUCCCUAGACCUCCAGUGUUACUUAUCAAAUGUAAACCAGGCCAGUCUUCAGGAAUACUAAGUACUGUGAAGUAUAGAGUUUUGUAAGUUUUAUGCCCUUGGGAAUUUUGAAGAGUUGGAUGUGUGCAAAAUGUUUCUGACAGCAUGAGCCUGCAGUGUCUUGGGCAUUAACCCCCCAAGUGUGUGCGACGCACCAUGUGCGUCCGCUGAGUUACAUGCAUAUAGCGUGCAUUUAUGCGGGGGUAUUUAAAUCCCUCCCGGUGCUUUAUUUUCGCAAGCGUUGAAGGUUUUGU